This 445-nucleotide ribosomal RNA is filed under the name uncultured bacterium. Its description in RNAcentral is "partial 16S ribosomal RNA". It matches the Rfam family "Bacterial small subunit ribosomal RNA", at positions 330 to 792 of the family's 1533-position model. The record is from RNAcentral.
CCCAGACUCCUACGGGAGGCAGCAGUGGGGAAUAUUGCACAAUGGGGGAAACCCUGAUGCAGCGACGCCGCGUGAGCGAAGAAGUAUUUCGGUAUGUAAAGCUCUAUCAGCAGGGAAGAAAUUGACGGUACCUGAGUAAGAAGCUCCGGCUAGAUACGUGCCAGCAGCCGCGGUAAUACGUAUGGAGCAAGCGUUAUCCGGAUUUACUGGGUGUAAAGGGAGCGUAGGCGGCCUGCCAAGUCUGAUGUGAAAUACCGGGGCCCAACCCCGGGACUGCCCUUGGAACUGCAUGGCUGGAGUGCGGGAGGGGCAGGCGGAAUUCCUGGUGUAGCGGUGAAAUGCGUAGAUAUCAGGAGGAACACCGGCGGCGAAGGCGGCCUGCUGGACCGUGACUGACGUUGAGGCUCGAGAGCGCGGGGAGCAAACAGGAUUAGAUACCCUCGUA